GACGAACGCUGGCGGCGUGCUUAACACAUGCAAGUCGAACGAUGAGGGAGAGCUUGCUCUCCGGAUUAGUGGCGAACGGGUGAGUAACACGUGACUAACCUGCCCCUUUCUCUGGGAUAACGCUCCGAAAGGAGUGCUAAUACCGGAUACGAACUCUGAACACAUGUUCGGAGUUGGAAAGUUUUUCGGAAAGGGAUGGAGUCGCGGCCUAUCAGCUUGUUGGUGAGGUAACGGCUCACCAAGGCGACGACGGGUAGCCGGCCUGAGAGGGCGACCGGCCACACUGGGACUGAGACACGGCCCAGACUCCUACGGGAGGCAGCAGUGGGGAAUAUUGCACAAUGGGCGAAAGCCUGAUGCAGCGACGCCGCGUGAGGGAUGAAGGUCUUCGGAUUGUAAACCUCUUUCAGUAGGGACGAAGCGAAAGUGACGGUACCUAAAGAAGAAGCACCGGCUAACUACGUGCCAGCCGCCGCUGUAA
Molecule: ribosomal RNA, 481 nt
Filed under: uncultured bacterium
Lineage: Bacteria
Description: partial 16S ribosomal RNA
Rfam family: Bacterial small subunit ribosomal RNA
Source: RNAcentral